Molecule: ribosomal RNA, 465 nt
Filed under: uncultured bacterium
Lineage: Bacteria
Description: partial 16S ribosomal RNA
Rfam family: Bacterial small subunit ribosomal RNA
Source: RNAcentral
GACGAACGCUGGCGGCGUGCUUAACACAUGCAAGUCGAGCGAGGCCCCUCCUUCGGGAGGGUGUCCUAGCGGCGAACGGGUGAGUAACACGUGGGCAACCUGCCCUCAGCUCUGGGAUAACUCCGGGAAACCGGGGCUAAUACCGGAUACGACCUCCACGGGCAUCUGCGGAGGUGGAAAGUUUUUCGGCUGAGGAUGGGCCCGCGGCCUAUCAGCUAGUUGGUGGGGUAGUGGCCCACCAAGGCGACGACGGGUAGCCGGCCUGAGAGGGCGACCGGCCACACUGGGACUGAGACACGGCCCAGACUCCUACGGGAGGCAGCAGUGGGGAAUAUUGCGCAAUGGGCGAAAGCCUGACGCAGCGACGCCGCGUGAGGGACGAAGGCCUUCGGGUUGUAAACCUCUUUCAGCAGGGACGAUGCGAAAGUGACGGUACCUGCAGAAGAAGCACCGGCCAACUACGUG